RNAcentral lists this ribosomal RNA (327 nucleotides) under Triticum aestivum (bread wheat). RNAcentral's name for it is "partial small subunit ribosomal RNA". Lineage: Eukaryota; Viridiplantae; Streptophyta; Magnoliopsida; Poales; Poaceae. The record is from RNAcentral.
AUGCCCUUCCCACGCCGCGUCAGUCAAACACCGGCCCUCUUUCUCCCAAUCCCCGCAGCCGUCGCGCCCGGCACACCUCCCUUCUCCACUCCCCCCCGCACCCCACCCUUCCCAGCCGAGCUUGUUCCUCUAGCCACCCACUCGUCUGCUCCUCCUCCUCCUCCUCUCUCUCUUCUAGCUUCCUCCUCCUUCCUGAUCUCUACGUCGGCCGGACCACGAGAGGAGCGGCGGUGGCGGAGACGCUCCGGUGGCGGCAUCGAGUUGCGAACCCCAGGAACCAGGUCUGGGGGUUCGGUUCCAAGGCGCGGACGGCUUCUCCGCCUAUGA